RNAcentral lists this transfer RNA (73 nucleotides) under Helicotheca tamesis. Its description in RNAcentral is "tRNA-Ala". It matches the Rfam family "tRNA". From Rfam's summary of the family: Transfer RNA (tRNA) molecules are approximately 80 nucleotides in length. Their secondary structure includes four short double-helical elements and three loops (D, anti-codon, and T loops). Lineage: Eukaryota; Bacillariophyta; Thalassiosirophyceae; Lithodesmiales; Lithodesmiaceae. The record is from RNAcentral.
GGGAGUAUAACUCAAUUGGUAGAGUGUAUGCUUUGCAAGCAUAAAGCUAUCGGUUCAAAUCCGAUUACUUCCA